Long non-coding RNA from Zingiber officinale, 1235 nucleotides. RefSeq lists it as uncharacterized. The record is from RefSeq and is a predicted model, not a curated record. NCBI's taxonomy places the organism in Eukaryota, Viridiplantae, Streptophyta, Magnoliopsida, Zingiberales, Zingiberaceae. The transcript is spliced from 3 exons.
GGAGAGUAACAAGGCCGAAGUGUUGAUCUUGUUGCGCCGGCCCGCUCGAUACGCCGAGGCCGUCACUUUCUUUCUUGUUAAUGUUCAAGCGGAAGGGGAGAAAUUUCAUGGCGAUCUUAUUCUCCGCAAAGCCCUCUUCGAUCUCACCGUGUUGCCACUCGAUGCGAUGCUGCGGUGCGCGGGCGCUCUUAGUUCGGAACAAAGGGUGCAAGUUCUCCGGGAAAUUUCGUCCUCUUUGAGCGAAUCCCCAUCACGACAUUCUGCGUCGCAAGUUAGCUCGGGUCAAGUCAAGUUCAAUUCAUGAUUUACAGAAGUGUAGAAGCAAUCUUGAAUCCUUGUUCUGCUAUGACAAGUCUUAUCCAGAGGAGAAUAUAGAGAUGCCUGUUGGUUUGACGAUGGAUAAGAAGGAAAUAGGUAAUCACCCACCUUGCACUGAUUGUGAAGUGAAAGGCGCAGUGUUAUGUGCUACAUGUGAAGGUUCUAGUUUAUAUGUCGACUCAAUCCUAGAGAGCCAAGGAAUCAUUGUGAAAGCUAGGUGCCUGGCUUGUGGAGGUGUUGGCAACAUCAUGUGCUCCAGAUGUGGAGGGUGGGGACACACUGGAUUGUAAGACCAACUCCAACGCAUACUCUUUUACAUCAUUUUAAUGUAAAAAGAAUCCCAAAUAUUCUCCAACGGAACACUAAAAUGUGUACUAUUUUGGUGUAAGUGAACAGUGCAACACCAAGAUGCUGCUGCACUGUUCACUUGCACCAAAAUGGUGCAAGUGCCUUUUUUUUUUUUUAAAAAUAUAAUAUAUUAUAAUAUUAAAUUUAUAUUUAAAAUAUUCUUAAAUAUUAUAAAUUAAUAUAAUAAAAAUUAGUUAUUAUGUAUCAUAAAAUUAUUAAUUUUAAUAGUAAUUAUUAUCGUAAUUAAAAUAUUUAAUAAAUUAAUAUGUAUGUUGAAUAAUAAAUUAUAAGAUGCAAAAAUAGAAUAUUUUAAGGAAUAUUUCUUUUAGGGUAGGAAAUGAUGUGUAUUGAUUGAAGUUGAAAAAUUAUUUGAUGCUGAAGUGACAUCAAAUUGGUGUUGAAGUGGCACCAAAAUGAGUUUUGUGGUUGGAGAUGGUCUAAGUUCCUUGUUAUCGUCGAAACAUUUUCGAACAAAAUGCUGUCAAGUCUAUUCGGGUAGCUCCGUAGAAGUUUAUUCUGAAAACGUGGAUUGCAAAGUCUAUUAGAGUGGAAUGUAUAAAAGAAUCAGA